UACGUAGGGGGCUAGCGUUGUCCGGAAUCAUUGGGCGUAAAGCGCGCGUAGGCGGCUCGGAAAGUCGGUCGUGAAAUGCCGGGGCUCAACCCCGGGACUGCGUCCGAUACUCUCGAGCUGGAGGCAGGUAGGGGAGAUCGGAAUUCCUGGUGUAGCGGUGAAAUGCGCAGAUAUCAGGAGGAACACCGGUGGCGAAGGCGGAUCUCUGGGCCUUGCCUGACGCUGAGGCGCGAAAGCUAGGGGAGCGAACAGG
This 253-nucleotide ribosomal RNA is filed under the name uncultured bacterium. Its description in RNAcentral is "partial 16S ribosomal RNA". It matches the Rfam family "Bacterial small subunit ribosomal RNA", at positions 524 to 776 of the family's 1533-position model. The record is from RNAcentral.